Mauremys mutica (yellowpond turtle) is the source of this 1025-nucleotide long non-coding RNA. RefSeq lists it as uncharacterized. NCBI's taxonomy places the organism in Eukaryota, Metazoa, Chordata, Testudines, Geoemydidae. The record is from RefSeq and is a predicted model, not a curated record. The transcript is spliced from 2 exons.
UUUUCACUUUUUAUGCUUCUACUUAUUAAAAUUAGUUUGUGAUGUCACUAAAUUGAAAAGAUUCGUAACUUUCCUGUCUAUAUUGGCUUUAUUAUUGUUUUAGUAUAAAAUAAGUUAAUACAUGUAUCUUUUCAUAUUAUUGUUAUAUAGCUAUUUACACUGAUCAUGUCUACUCUGUGUCUUGCAUUGAACCAAGUAUACUUAACAAAUAAGUAUGUCUGUCUACUCAGUGCACAUGCUGUAUUGAGAUAAAUGUUCAUAAUGGGUCUUUUUGAGAAUGUAAUUUGACUGGCAGAGUGAAAUUCUAAUAAUUUGCAAAUUACAAAGCAUAAUUAAGAUAUAGAAAUAGGUAGUUUUUCAUCGUGCUUUUACCUACCUGUUAAUAAAAGUAGAAAUGGAACUAUUGCAGACUGUAACACUUUUUAUAUUCUGAAAAAGUUUGCUUCCUUUUCUCUAAAGCAAAAUGGAGGACUGUUGCUUUUGGGAAACUAGCACUGAGUGGUGGGAUUGCUUCAUUAUGCAGGUCUGGCAUGACAAGCAGUGGCUGCAGAACUUUGGGAUGCAGAAAGCCACCUUCCAGGAGCUGUGUGCGGCACAAGGACACCAAAAUGAGAGCUGCUCUCUUGGUGAUGAAGUUCAAGGCUAUCACUGUGUGGAAGUUGGCAGCUCCAGACUGCUAUUGGAAUCUUGGUUCAGAUUGGAGUGUAUGCCAGGACCAUAUUAAAGAUGGCAUGUUGUGAUUUCUGGAGAGGUUGUGCAAAAAUUAUAUUGCUGUGUGAGCAAUGCCAGGUAACUCAUUAUUAGGAAACUUUCGACCUUAACUGGAUAAACCCAGGUCAGUUGUGUGUUUUUGUAUUCCCCAUAGAUGUUGAUUGUGUAGAGUCUGUUUCUAAACUGACAAUGUUAGUUAUGUACGUAUAUAAAUUUCUAAAAAAGUGUGAUGAAUUACACUUACAUGGCUAGCUUUUCAAAAGUCUGAUUGUCAUUAAACUUUACACAGUAAACUACUUACUGCUUUAAAGUCC